RNAcentral lists this unclassified non-coding RNA (374 nucleotides) under Agaricomycetes sp. Its description in RNAcentral is "partial contains 5.8S ribosomal RNA, internal transcribed spacer 2, and large subunit ribosomal RNA". The record is from RNAcentral. Lineage: Eukaryota; Fungi; Basidiomycota; Agaricomycetes.
CGCAUCUUGCGCUCCUUGGUAUUCCGAGGAGCAUACCUGUUUGAGUGUCAUGAAUAUCUCAACCCUACCAGGUCAUUCGAUCUGUGAAGGGCUUGGACUUGGGAGUUGUAGGCCGUGCAUGAAUGGCUUACUCUUCUUAAAUAUAUUAGCUGGAUCACUCUCUUACACUUACCAGCCGGUGUGAUAAAUAUCUACGCCGCAUGGUCUUGUAUACAAUGCAGUGUUACCCUGUUCAUUCAGUGCUGUAACCUCAUUGGAGUGUCCGCUUAUAAUUGUCUAUCAACUAGUCGCGACACCUUCACUGGAAGGCCGAUUUAGUGGACAUUAUUAUGACAUCUGACCUCAAAUCAGGUAGGACUACCCGCUGAACUUAA